GGUGUCUCCUCCUGAUGCUGCAUCUGCUGCUGCUGGCACCAUUGAUGUGUCUGUGGCUCCUGAUGUCAUGAAUUAAUGGAGCUGUCACUGAGUGAGUCCUACUCGAAUCCCCACCUAUAAAAAGAGUAACAAGAUCACUAAGAAAUAAAGAGGUGUGCUUCUUGUUAUGCAAAAUAAAAUAGAAUAAAAUAACAUACCUGUGGUGGCGUUGGUUGUGUGUCAUG
Molecule: long non-coding RNA, 224 nt
Filed under: Elaeis guineensis (African oil palm)
Lineage: Eukaryota; Viridiplantae; Streptophyta; Magnoliopsida; Arecales; Arecaceae
Description: long non-coding RNA (EGUI_LNC070000)
Source: RNAcentral